Molecule: ribosomal RNA, 2903 nt
Filed under: Citrobacter freundii
Lineage: Bacteria; Pseudomonadati; Pseudomonadota; Gammaproteobacteria; Enterobacterales; Enterobacteriaceae
Description: bacterial LSU rRNA
Rfam family: Bacterial large subunit ribosomal RNA
Source: RNAcentral
UUAAGCGACUAAGCGUACACGGUGGAUGCCCUGGCAGUCAGAGGCGAUGAAGGACGUGCUAAUCUGCGAUAAGCGUCGGUAAGGUGAUAUGAACCGUUAUAACCGGCGAUUUCCGAAUGGGGAAACCCAGUGCAAUUCGUUGCACUAUCAUUACGUGAAUACAUAGCGUAAUGAAGCGAACCGGGGGAACUGAAACAUCUAAGUACCCGAGGAAAAGAAAUCAACCGAGAUUCCCCCAGUAGCGGCGAGCGAACGGGGAGCAGCCCAGAGUCUGAAUCAGCUUGUGUGUUAGUGGAACGGUCUGGAAAGUCCGACGGUACAGGGUGAUAGUCCCGUACACCAAAACACACAGGUUGUGAACUCGAAGAGUAGGGCGGGACACGUGGUAUCCUGUCUGAAUAUGGGGGGACCAUCCUCCAAGGCUAAAUACUCCUGACUGACCGAUAGUGAACCAGUACCGUGAGGGAAAGGCGAAAAGAACCCCGGCGAGGGGAGUGAAAAAGAACCUGAAACCGUGUACGUACAAGCAGUGGGAGCCUCUUUAUGGGGUGACUGCGUACCUUUUGUAUAAUGGGUCAGCGACUUAUAUUCUGUAGCAAGGUUAACCGAAUAGGGGAGCCGAAGGGAAACCGAGUCUUAACUGGGCGUUAAGUUGCAGGGUAUAGACCCGAAACCCGGUGAUCUAGCCAUGGGCAGGUUGAAGGUUGGGUAACACUAACUGGAGGACCGAACCGACUAAUGUUGAAAAAUUAGCGGAUGACUUGUGGCUGGGGGUGAAAGGCCAAUCAAACCGGGAGAUAGCUGGUUCUCCCCGAAAGCUAUUUAGGUAGCGCCUCGUGAACUCAUCUUCGGGGGUAGAGCACUGUUUCGGCUAGGGGGUCAUCCCGACUUACCAACCCGAUGCAAACUGCGAAUACCGAAGAAUGUUAUCACGGGAGACACACGGCGGGUGCUAACGUCCGUCGUGAAGAGGGAAACAACCCAGACCGCCAGCUAAGGUCCCAAAGUCAUGGUUAAGUGGGAAACGAUGUGGGAAGGCACAGACAGCCAGGAUGUUGGCUUAGAAGCAGCCAUCAUUUAAAGAAAGCGUAAUAGCUCACUGGUCGAGUCGGCCUGCGCGGAAGAUGUAACGGGGCUAAACCAUGCACCGAAGCUGCGGCAGCGACACUAUGUGUUGUUGGGUAGGGGAGCGUUCUGUAAGCCGUUGAAGGUGUGCUGUGAGGCAUGCUGGAGGUAUCAGAAGUGCGAAUGCUGACAUAAGUAACGAUAAUGCGGGUGAAAAACCCGCACGCCGGAAGACCAAGGGUUCCUGUCCAACGUUAAUCGGGGCAGGGUGAGUCGACCCCUAAGGCGAGGCCGAAAGGCGUAGUCGAUGGGAAACAGGUUAAUAUUCCUGUACUUGGUGUUACUGCGAAGGGGGGACGGAGAAGGCUAUGUUGGCCGGGCGACGGUUGUCCCGGUUUAAGCGUGUAGGUGUGUGUUCCAGGUAAAUCCGGAAUGCUUUAACACUGAGGCGUGAUGACGAGGCACCACGGUGCUGAAGUGACAAAUGCCCUGCUUCCAGGAAAAGCCUCUAAGCAUCAGGUAACACGAAAUCGUACCCCAAACCGACACAGGUGGUCAGGUAGAGAAUACCAAGGCGCUUGAGAGAACUCGGGUGAAGGAACUAGGCAAAAUGGUGCCGUAACUUCGGGAGAAGGCACGCUGAUAUGUAGGUGAAGUGAUUUACUCAUGGAGCUGAAAUCAGUCGAAGAUACCAGCUGGCUGCAACUGUUUAUUAAAAACACAGCACUGUGCAAACACGAAAGUGGACGUAUACGGUGUGACGCCUGCCCGGUGCCGGAAGGUUAAUUGAUGGGGUUAUCCGUAAGGAGAAGCUCUUGAUCGAAGCCCCGGUAAACGGCGGCCGUAACUAUAACGGUCCUAAGGUAGCGAAAUUCCUUGUCGGGUAAGUUCCGACCUGCACGAAUGGCGUAAUGAUGGCCAGGCUGUCUCCACCCGAGACUCAGUGAAAUUGAACUCGCUGUGAAGAUGCAGUGUACCCGCGGCAAGACGGAAAGACCCCGUGAACCUUUACUAUAGCUUGACACUGAACACUGGUCCUUGAUGUGUAGGAUAGGUGGGAGGCUUUGAAGUGUGGACGCCAGUCUGCAUGGAGCCGACCUUGAAAUACCACCCUUUAAUGGCUGGUGUUCUAACGUGGGCCCGUGAUCCGGGUUGCGGACAGUGUCUGGUGGGUAGUUUGACUGGGGCGGUCUCCUCCCAAAGAGUAACGGAGGAGCACGAAGGUUAGCUAAUCCUGGUCGGACAUCAGGAGGUUAGUGCAAAGGCAUAAGCUAGCUUGACUGCGAGAGUGACGGCUCGAGCAGGUGCGAAAGCAGGUCUUAGUGAUCCGGUGGUUCUGAAUGGAAGGGCCAUCGCUCAACGGAUAAAAGGUACUCCGGGGAUAACAGGCUGAUACCGCCCAAGAGUUCAUAUCGACGGCGGUGUUUGGCACCUCGAUGUCGGCUCAUCACAUCCUGGGGCUGAAGUAGGUCCCAAGGGUAUGGCUGUUCGCCAUUUAAAGUGGUACGCGAGCUGGGUUUAGAACGUCGUGAGACAGUUCGGUCCCUAUCUGCCGUGGGCGCUGGAGAAUUGAGGGGGGCUGCUCCUAGUACGAGAGGACCGGAGUGGACGCAUCACUGGUGUUCGGGUUGUCAUGCCAAUGGCACUGCCCGGUAGCUAAAUGCGGAAGAGAUAAGUGCUGAAAGCAUCUAAGCACGAAACUUGCCCCGAGAUGAGUUCUCCCUGACCCUUUAAGGGUCCUGAAGGAACGUUGAAGACGACGACGUUGAUAGGCCGGGUGUGUAAGCGCAGCGAUGCGUUGAGCUAACCGGUACUAAUGAACCGUGAGGCUUAACCUU